UGCCCCUUGGCUUAGAUGGUCAAAGCAUCUGACUGUUAUCGCGGUAUACAUUAGAAGGUCGUGAGUUCGAGCCUCACAGGGGCAG
This is a non-coding RNA of Abortiporus biennis, 85 nucleotides long. The record is from the annotation of a GenBank genome assembly. NCBI's taxonomy places the organism in Eukaryota, Fungi, Basidiomycota, Agaricomycetes, Polyporales, Podoscyphaceae.